This is a long non-coding RNA of Homo sapiens (human), 701 nucleotides long. The record is from Ensembl. NCBI's taxonomy places the organism in Eukaryota, Metazoa, Chordata, Mammalia, Primates, Hominidae.
UGGAGACUCACAACAGGCUAUGGUCUGGGCUAUCUCUGUGGGGUGCAAUGUCUGCUCUCUGUAUCAAUACAGAGGGUGACAAACACUAUGUGGAUGCCGACCGGGGCUGCAGGUCAGGGGACGGUGCUGUAAUAGGACCCAAACUUUCCAACAAAACAUUGGCCUUUUCACUUGUUCUCUUCCGAAAAAGCAAAUGCAAGCAUGCUUAAAAAAACAAAAGCAGUUGAUGAGGCAGAUGAUGAGGGAGCUGGUGGCAAAAAAAGAGCUCAGUCCCUGUAGGAACCUGGUUUGGCUCAGCCAGUCUUGGCCUCUGGUUCAUCAUUUUCAUGAUCAUGUUUGUGGCUGGGUCUGGAGUUCAGGGGAGCAGACUGCUCAGGUGGCUGGGACCAGGUCUCCGGCUUCUCCUAGUUUUCUCCCUACUCCUGGGCAUUGAUUGGGACUUAUUAGAACCUCCACUGGAGGAAAAGGAAGCAAACAGAAGGAAGUUGAACCUCAGAUGAGUCAGAGAUUUAACAGUGCCAUGGGGUCCCGAUUGCACUCACCAUCCACACCAUCAUGUAGGAGAAGGCUGCGAUCCACAGCGUGGAGGAAGCAAACGUCACCAUGAACCAUUUCUCCCAGCGCGGCUUGUUGCAGUUGGGUACAGUGAAGUAUAAGACGAAACUCAGCGGCCAGGUGAACGCCCAUUUCACUGUUUCCAG